This 253-nucleotide ribosomal RNA is filed under the name uncultured bacterium. RNAcentral's name for it is "partial 16S ribosomal RNA". It matches the Rfam family "Bacterial small subunit ribosomal RNA", at positions 524 to 776 of the family's 1533-position model. The record is from RNAcentral.
UACGAAGGGGGCAAGCGUUGUUCGGAAUUACUGGGCGUAAAGGGCGCGUAGGCGGGUCUUUAAGUCAGGGGUGAAAUCCUGGAGCUCAACUCCAGAACUGCCUUUGAUACUGAGGAUCUUGAGUUCGGGAGAGGUGAGUGGAACUGCGAGUGUAGAGGUGAAAUUCGUAGAUAUUCGCAAGAACACCAGUGGCGAAGGCGGCUCACUGGCCCGAUACUGACGCUGAGGCACGAAAGCGUGGGGAGCAAACAGG